AGGAGCCGCCGUCUUCGAUCCACUUCUGCUGAAUGGACUGAAAGCCCCGCACCGAGGGCAGGAUGAGAAGUCUAAAGGCGAGGGCGAGGAGAGGCAGAGUGCUAAUCCCCAGCCUCCCCGGGGAAUCGGUUUGGGAAAAAAGGUUCUUCCCAGAAACUCUAAAAAAUAAAAUAAGAGAUGAUAGCACUUAAAUAUUGAAGAAACCAAAUUCUGCAGUAUCUGAAGAACCUUUGAUGUGGAAUCCGGAGACAGAGAUGCUAUGAGAUGUCGCAAAAUAUCCUACCUCACGGAACGGAGCCUCACUUUUCCCAAACAGAAAAUGUAGAUAUGAAUAUUAAAUUCUCUUACACCUGGGUCUUUAAGUCUAAAACGAAGUAAGAUGAAAACAAGAUGUUAUUUAAAUGUGACCCUACAUAAAUAAAUGUAAAUAAAAUGGCUAUGCCCCCCCCCCUCCCCAGCUUUGAUUCUUGACAGAAAAGUAGCCCAGCAGGGGGCAGAGUGGACAGUCUUGGUGGUGGUGGUGGUGGUAAUAUUCAUGCACACACACCUCCAGUUAUUCAAACACCAGUCAAUGCACUGCUGUGAAAUGAUUUUGCAGGUGUAAUUAAAGUCCCAAGUGAGUCUGAGACUUUAAGAUAAAAGCCAUCUGUGGACUUUCAAGAUAAAAUCAUCAGGGGAACUUUUACAAGGGAGUGGUCUCUAUGUGGAGACCAGGAUGUUAAGUCUGAGAGGAAUCUGACUUGAGGGAGAUUCCCUAUUGCUGCAUUUGAGAACAGAAAAACAGAAGGGGCCACAUGACAAGAAAUGCAGGUGGAAUGUAGGUGCUGCAAGGAGCCGCUAACAGCCAGCAAUGCAAGAGGGACCUCCAUCCUACAACCAUAAGAACUGAGUCUUGUUACAACCAUGAGGGAGUGAAAGAGGACCCUGAGCUCCUGAUGAGAAGACAGCUUGAUUGACAUCUUGACUUCAACCUUAUAUGACCUUGACAGAGGGUCCAGCCAUGCUGUGCCCAGACUUAUUCCCAGAACUGUGAGAUAACAAAUAAGUGUAGUUUUAAGGCUCUAAGUUUGUGAUAAUUUGUUAGACAACCUGAUAAAACUAAUGAAUUAUUCAACUACCAUUUUAAAAAGUGUUCAUUGCCCUGGCUGCUAUCUCGCAGUGGUUAGACUCAUGCACCAAAGUGUCAGGGGUCAGGGGUUGGAUUCCUGGUCAAGGGCAUAUACCUGGGUUGCAGCUUUAAUCCCAGCCCCACUUGGAUCAACCAAUCGACGUGUCUCUCUCUCACAUUGCUGUUUUUCUUUCUUUCUCUCUCCCUCCCUCCCUCUAAAAAAAACAAUGGGAAAAAUAUCCUCGGGUGAAGAUUAACAAAACAAACAAACAAAAAAUGUCCAUUAAAAUACCAGAAAUAUUUUACCACUCUCAGAGCCUGACUUUAGAAGAGUCAUUUUUAGUGAAACUGGGUUAGUGCCGUUCAAAUGUAUACUUGGAGACAUAAAAAGUUGUUAUAAAUUGCUUAAAGCAAGCACACUGAUGACAGUUAAAAUAGUCUUCUAAGCAUGGAAAACUCUCUUCCAUAAAAGAUACAUAUAUUUAAAGUGUAUCUUAAUAUGAUUGAAAUAUAAAUCCUCCUGACCAUAGGUUCUAGGGAGGAUUAGAACCAUUCAUGAGUUUAAAUUACUACAGAAUAGAAAUGGUACUGUAGUUUACCUGGUGUGGUGAACUAGCUGUGUGACCUUGGGCAAAGUAGGUCAUCUGCUGAGCCUGAGGUUUCUCAUCUGCAAAAUAGCAAUUCUUUUGUCAUAUUAUGUGGUUUUGAUAACGUGUUUGGCUCUGGGAAUACAUUUAAAUAGUCUUGGAAUUUUAUUCAUUAAUUGGAUAUUUCCACAGUCACCCAUGGAAAUGAAGUGUCCCUAUAUCCCACUGUCUUGCAGAUUCAGGAAAUAAUCAAAUAUUUGAGAAGCGGGGUGGGGAAGGAACACAAAUCCUCUUCUGAGUUCAGCUUUUUAUUUGAUUUGACUUGAGUUUGGGGGUUGAUUUUUAAUGUGAGAGAAACUGGACUCAUCUAUUUGGAACAUCUUUUUAUAAAUUAAUAUAAAAUUUUGAAAAUAGAUACAAGGAAUUCAAAGAACACAAGAGGAUUUACGAUGCCAGCAUCCCUUUCAGGCACCAGCAGUCUGCAGAGAGCAAAGAGGCGGCAGAAAGACAGAGGAUAUUGAACUAAGAAGACACAGUACCCUCCACCCUUCAUUCAAGACUUCAUCUAAUAAUGGGAGGUCAUUUUACAAUGCACCAGCAAGCAGACAUUACUCAGACUGUGGCUAAAAUCAUCAGUAAGAAACUCUGCCAGGAAUGCCUUCGUGUAACAUGAGGUGGUGUUGGAGUGAGUGUGUGUGUGUGUGUGUGUGUGUGUGUGUGUGUGUGUUUCUGUCACAGUACUUUCCUUCUAAAUCAUUUUCUCUAGUUGGGGAAUGCACUUAAUAAAAACAAGCUCUUCCUUUAAAUAAGUCUCCAUUCUAAACAUUUGGAUAUUUUAAUUGUAAGAACAGAAAUGGAGUGAUAUUAAGAACAAAUGAGACUGAGUCUUAUGCUAUGUGAAAUAAUCCAGUCAGACAAAGUACCAUAUUAUUUCACUUAUAUGUGGGGUCUAAUAAACAAAAUAAACUAACAAAAAAAAAUGGAAACAA
Myotis myotis is the source of this 2684-nucleotide long non-coding RNA. RefSeq lists it as uncharacterized. Lineage: Eukaryota; Metazoa; Chordata; Mammalia; Chiroptera; Vespertilionidae. The transcript is spliced from 3 exons. The record is from RefSeq and is a predicted model, not a curated record.